Molecule: ribosomal RNA, 426 nt
Filed under: uncultured bacterium
Lineage: Bacteria
Description: bacterial SSU rRNA
Rfam family: Bacterial small subunit ribosomal RNA
Source: RNAcentral
GGACCCGCACAAGUAGUGGAGCAUGUGGUUUAAUUCGAAGAUACGCGCAGAACCUUACCAACACUUGACAUGUUCGUCGCGACUCUAAGAGAUUAGAGUUUUCGGUUCGGCCGGACGAAACACAGGUGCUGCAUGGCUGUCGUCAGCUCGUGUCGUGAGAUGUUGGGUUAAGUCCCGCAACGAGCGCAACCCUCACUUUUAGUUGCCAUCAUUAAGUUGGGCACUCUGAAAGAACUGCCAGUGAUAAGCUGGAGGAAGGUGGGGAUGACGUCAAGUCCUCAUGGCCCUUACGUGUUGGGCUACACACGUGCUACAAUGGUAUCUACAACAGGAAGCAAGACUGCGAGGUCAAGCAAAUCCUUAAAAGAUACCUCAGUUCGGAUAGGAGUCUGCAACUCGACUCCUUGAAGUUGGAGUCGCUAGUAA